Pocillopora damicornis (cauliflower coral) is the source of this 201-nucleotide long non-coding RNA. Lineage: Eukaryota; Metazoa; Cnidaria; Anthozoa; Scleractinia; Pocilloporidae. The record is from RefSeq and is a predicted model, not a curated record.
GGAAUGCAUCCUUUGUAAACUUUGUAGAAAUGUAUGAUGAAGAGAAAGAUAUGAACCUUGUUAGGGAAGAUGAUGGGGAAAGAGAGGAAGCUAAAGAAUCACUGUUCACAAAAGGACAAUCAAAAAGAAUUUGGAAUGAGCUUUACAAGGUCAUAGAUUCAUCUGAUGUUGUCAUACAGGUACUAGAUGCUCGUGAUCCCA